This 305-nucleotide ribosomal RNA is filed under the name uncultured bacterium. RNAcentral describes it as "bacterial SSU rRNA". It matches the Rfam family "Bacterial small subunit ribosomal RNA", at positions 334 to 631 of the family's 1533-position model. The record is from RNAcentral.
CUCUCCUACGGGACGCAGCAGUAGGGAAUCUUCGGCAAUGGGGGCAACCCUGACCGAGCAACGCCGCGUGAGUGAAGAAGGUUUUCGGAUCGUAAAACUCUGUUGGUAGAGAAGAACGUUGGUGAGAGUGGAAAGCUCAUCAAGUGACGGUAACUACCCAGAAAGGGACGGCUAACUACGUGCCAGCAGCCGCGGUAAUACGUAGGUCCCGAGCGUUGUCCGGAUUUAUUGGGCGUAAAGCGAGCGCAGGUGGUUUAUUAAGUCUGGUGUAAAAGGCAGUGGCUCAACCAUUGUAUGCAUUGGAA